Molecule: ribosomal RNA, 383 nt
Filed under: uncultured eukaryote
Lineage: Eukaryota
Description: partial 18S ribosomal RNA
Rfam family: Eukaryotic small subunit ribosomal RNA
Source: RNAcentral
CAAUAGCGUAUAUUAAAGUUGUUGCAGUUAAAAAGCUCGUAGUUGGAUUUCUGGUGGGAGCGAUCGGUCUGGCGCUUAGCGCGAGUACUUGCAUCGUCUCCGGCCAUCCUUGGGGAGAGUCUGUCUGGCAUUAAGUUGUCGGGCAGAGGAUCCUCAUCGUUUACUGUGAAAAAAUUAGAGUGUUCAAAGCAGGCUUAUGCCGUUGAAUAUAUUAGCAUGGAAUAAUAAGAUAGGACUUUGGUACUAUUUUGUUGGUUUGCGCACCAAAGUAAUGAUUAAUAGGGACAGUUGAGGGUAUUCGUAUUCCGUUGUCAGAGGUGAAAUUCUUGGAUUUACGGAAGACGAACUACUGCGAAAGCAUUUACCAAGGAUGUUUUCAUUAA